GAUGAACGCUGGCGGCGUGCCUAAUACAUGCAAGUCGAGCGAACGGACGAGAAGCUUGCUUCUCUGAUGUUAGCGGCGGACGGGUGAGUAACACGUGGAUCACCUACCUAUAAGACUGGGAUAACUUCGGGACACCGGAGCUAAUACCGGAUAAUAUUUUGAACCGCAUGGUUCAAUAGUGAAAUACGGUCUUGCUGUCACUUAUAGCUGGAUCCGCGCUGCAUUAGCUAGUUGGUAAGGUAACGGCUUACCAAGGCAACGAUGCAUAGCCGACCUGAGAGGGUGAUCGGCCACACUGGAACUGAGACACGGUCCAGACUACUACGGGAGGCAGCAGUAGGGAAUCUGACGCAAUGGGCGAAAGCAUGACGGAGCAACGCCGCGUGAGUGAUGAAGGUCUUCGGAUCGUAAAGCUCUGUUAUUAGGGAAGAACAGAUGUGUAAGUAGAUGUGGACAUCUUGACGGUACCUAAUCAGAAAGCAACGGCUAACUACGUG
This 497-nucleotide ribosomal RNA is filed under the name uncultured bacterium. RNAcentral's name for it is "partial 16S ribosomal RNA". It matches the Rfam family "Bacterial small subunit ribosomal RNA", at positions 28 to 507 of the family's 1533-position model. The record is from RNAcentral.